This 1375-nucleotide ribosomal RNA is filed under the name Plantibacter sp. PDD-32b-63. Its description in RNAcentral is "16S ribosomal RNA". It matches the Rfam family "Bacterial small subunit ribosomal RNA". Lineage: Bacteria; Bacillati; Actinomycetota; Actinomycetes; Micrococcales; Microbacteriaceae. The record is from RNAcentral.
ACAUGCAAGUCGAACGAUGAAGCCCAGCUUGCUGGGUGGAUUAGUGGCGAACGGGUGAGUAACACGUGAGUAACCUGCCCUUGACUCUGGGAUAAGCGUUGGAAACGACGUCUAAUACCGGAUACGAGCUUCCACCGCAUGGUGAGUUGCUGGAAAGAAUUUUGGUCAAGGAUGGACUCGCGGCCUAUCAGCUAGUUGGUGAGGUAACGGCUCACCAAGGCGACGACGGGUAGCCGGCCUGAGAGGGUGACCGGCCACACUGGGACUGAGACACGGCCCAGACUCCUACGGGAGGCAGCAGUGGGGAAUAUUGCACAAUGGGCGAAAGCCUGAUGCAGCAACGCCGCGUGAGGGACGACGGCCUUCGGGUUGUAAACCUCUUUUAGCAGGGAAGAAGCGAAAGUGACGGUACCUGCAGAAAAAGCACCGGCUAACUACGUGCCAGCAGCCGCGGUAAUACGUAGGGUGCAAGCGUUGUCCGGAAUUAUUGGGCGUAAAGAGCUCGUAGGCGGUUUGUCGCGUCUGCUGUGAAAUCCCGAGGCUCAACCUCGGGUCUGCAGUGGGUACGGGCAGACUAGAGUGCGGUAGGGGAGAUUGGAAUUCCUGGUGUAGCGGUGGAAUGCGCAGAUAUCAGGAGGAACACCGAUGGCGAAGGCAGAUCUCUGGGCCGUUACUGACGCUGAGGAGCGAAAGGGUGGGGAGCAAACAGGCUUAGAUACCCUGGUAGUCCACCCCGUAAACGUUGGGCGCUAGAUGUGGGGACCAUUCCACGGUUUCCGUGUCGUAGCUAACGCAUUAAGCGCCCCGCCUGGGGAGUACGGCCGCAAGGCUAAAACUCAAAGGAAUUGACGGGGGCCCGCACAAGCGGCGGAGCAUGCGGAUUAAUUCGAUGCAACGCGAAGAACCUUACCAAGGCUUGACAUAUACGAGAACGGGCCAGAAAUGGUCAACUCUUUGGACACUCGUAAACAGGUGGUGCAUGGUUGUCGUCAGCUCGUGUCGUGAGAUGUUGGGUUAAGUCCCGCAACGAGCGCAACCCUCGUUCUAUGUUGCCAGCACGUAAUGGUGGGAACUCAUGGGAUACUGCCGGGGUCAACUCGGAGGAAGGUGGGGACGACGUCAAAUCAUCAUGCCCCUUAUGUCUUGGGCUUCACGCAUGCUACAAUGGCCAGUACAAAGGGCUGCAAUACCGUAAGGUGGAGCGAAUCCCAAAAAGCUGGUCCCAGUUCGGAUUGAGGUCUGCAACUCGACCUCAUGAAGUCGGAGUCGCUAGUAAUCGCAGAUCAGCAACGCUGCGGUGAAUACGUUCCCGGGCCUUGUACACACCGCCCGUCAAGUCAUGAAAGUCGGUAACACCCGAAGCCAGUGGCCUAAC